GGCCGUAGCUCAGUGGUAGAGCACCUGCCUCUCAUGUGUGAGGCCCUGGGUUUGAUCCUCAGCACCA
This 67-nucleotide transfer RNA is filed under the name Marmota monax (woodchuck). RNAcentral describes it as "tRNA.Glu". The stretch from base 5 to 63 matches the Rfam family "tRNA", at positions 7 to 64 of the family's 71-position model. From Rfam's summary of the family: Transfer RNA (tRNA) molecules are approximately 80 nucleotides in length. Their secondary structure includes four short double-helical elements and three loops (D, anti-codon, and T loops). Lineage: Eukaryota; Metazoa; Chordata; Mammalia; Rodentia; Sciuridae. The record is from RNAcentral.